UACGGAAGGCAGCAGGUGGGGAAUAUUGCACAAUGGGCGAAAGCCUGAUGCAGCUAUGCCGCGUGUAUGAAGAAGGCCUUAGGGUUGUAAAGUACUUUCAUCGGGGAGGAAAAAACAAAACUAAUAAUUUUAUUUCUUGACGUUACCCGAAAAAGAAGCACCGGCUAACUCCGUGCCAGCAGCCGCGGUAAUACGGAGGGUGCUAGCGUUAAUCAGAAUUACUGGGCGUAAAGAGCACGUAGGUGGUUUUUUAAGUCAGAUGUGAAAUCCCUGGGCUUAACCUAGGAACUGCAUUUUGAAACUGAAAUACUAGAGUAUCGUAGAGGGAGGUAGAAUUCUAGGUGUAGCGGUGAAAUGCGUAGAUAUCUGGAGGAAUACCUGUGGCGAAAGCGGCCUCCUAAACGAAUACUGACACUGAGGUGCGAAAGCGUGGGGAGCAAACAGGGAUUAGAUA
This 454-nucleotide ribosomal RNA is filed under the name uncultured bacterium. RNAcentral describes it as "bacterial SSU rRNA". It matches the Rfam family "Bacterial small subunit ribosomal RNA", at positions 340 to 784 of the family's 1533-position model. The record is from RNAcentral.